CGGGAACUCUUCUCGAGACUUGGCCUACUCUUCCUCUCCGUCCUCCUCCUCGUAACGUGCAGACACGCUGCGACUCCCCCUCUGAAUGUCCGCGUGGAGUCUCGCGACCUGCUGACACAACUCCGCUGGGACCACGACGCUCAAGUGGACGUCGCCACCAGCAGCAGCUCACAGCUCCUGGACGUUGCCUACAGGGUGGACAGCAAACUCUAUGGACGAGCCCGCUGGCGGACCGUCUGCGCUGCCACCGCAGAGACACGGUGCGAUGUCUCCUCAGCGCUGCGACAUCCCGGCGACCGCUAUCAACUUCGCGUCAGAUCCACCGUCUCAUCACCACCACCAACACCACCAUCACCACCAUCACCACCAUCACCACCAUCAUCCUCACCCUGGGUCGUGGUUGAGGUCUUACCCUUGAAGACAAGUGAGUGGCAUUGUCUGUGUCUCUGUGUGUGAGUGUCUCUGUGUGUGUCUCUGUGUGUGUGUGUGUCUCUGUGUGUGAGUGUCUCUGUGUGUGUGUGUGAGUGUGUGUGAGUGUCUCUGUGUGUGUCUGUGUGUGUGUCUGUGUGUGUGUCUCUGUGUGUCUCUGUGUGUGUGUGUGUCUGUGUGUGAGUGUUUCUGGGUGUGUGUGUCUCUGUGUGUGUGAGUGUCUCUGUGAGUGUCUCUGUGAGUGUCUCUGUGUGUCUCUGUGAGUGUCUCUGUGUGUGAGUGUCUCUGUGUGUGUCUCUGUGAGUGUCUCUGUGUGUGUCUCUGUGUGUGUCUCUGUGAGUGUCUCUGUGUGUGUGAGUGUCUCUGUGUGUGAGUGUCUCUGUGUGUGUCUGUGUGUGUGUGUCUCUGUGUGUGAGUGUCUCUGUGUGUGUGUGAGUGUGUGUGAGUGUCUCUGUGUGUGUCUGUGUGUGUGUCUGUGUCUCUGUGUGUCUCUGUGUGUGUCUGUGUGUGAGUG
Molecule: long non-coding RNA, 943 nt
Organism: Lethenteron reissneri (Far Eastern brook lamprey)
Lineage: Eukaryota; Metazoa; Chordata; Hyperoartia; Petromyzontiformes; Petromyzontidae
Source: RefSeq, a predicted model, not a curated record